RNAcentral lists this ribosomal RNA (462 nucleotides) under uncultured bacterium. Its description in RNAcentral is "bacterial SSU rRNA". It matches the Rfam family "Bacterial small subunit ribosomal RNA", at positions 917 to 1382 of the family's 1533-position model. The record is from RNAcentral.
GGGCCCGCACAAGCAGUGGAGUAUGUGGUUUAAUUCGAAGCAACGCGAAGAACCUUACCAGGUCUUGACAUCCGACUAACGAAGCAGAGAUGCAUCAGGUGCCCUUCGGGGAAAGUCGAGACAGGUGGUGCAUGGUUGUCGUCAGCUCGUGUCGUGAGAUGUUGGGUUAAGUCCCGCAACGAGCGCAACCCUUGUUUUUAGUUGCUACGCAAGAGCACUCUAAAGAGACUGCCGUUGACAAAACGGAGGAAGGUAGGGACGACGUCAAAUCAUCAUGCCCUUUAUGACCUGGGCUACACACGUACUACAAUGGUCGCUAACAAAGGGAAGCAAUAUCGCGAGAUGGAGCAAAUCCCCAAAAGCGGUCUCAGUUCAGAUUGCAGGCUGCAACCCGCCUGCAUGAAGUAGGAAUUGCUAGUAAUCGCGGAUCAGCAUGCCGCGGUGAAUACGUUCCCGGGCCUU